Oncorhynchus mykiss (rainbow trout) is the source of this 524-nucleotide non-coding RNA. Lineage: Eukaryota; Metazoa; Chordata; Actinopteri; Salmoniformes; Salmonidae. The record is from RefSeq and is a predicted model, not a curated record.
GAGAUGGGAGAAUCUUCCAAAAGGACAAUAGCUGCAGCACUCCACCAAUCACAACACCUCUCAGGCGGGCCGGCACCCGUGUCUCACUGGGCCAUGGUUCCGGCGGACCAGCUCUCACUUGGAGUCAAGGCACUCAGUACUUUUCAGCUGGCAUUUACAUAACGGCUAACUGUGAACUUUAACAGCGUCUCAUGAAAGCAACAGUCUUGAAUGACGCAGAGGUUCAUAAUUCUGCUCGCCACAAGUCUUUGUCACCCUCCUGAUGGGAAAAAAACAAUAGGCCGUGGCUGCAGAUCCAACAUUUGACUGACCCCCCCCCCCCCCCCCCCCCCCCCCCCCCCACCCCCCCCCCCCCCUCCCCCAGACUAAAGAUCCUGAAGUGGAUCAUUUUCUGUGCAUCUGUUUAUCUACCUCUACUUUACACAUUUUUUGUGGUCUCCUUCCUUUUACUGUUAAUUGUGAACGAUAAUUCUUCAAGUUUUACUGGUGAAAUGUCCGUGCAGCAACUGCAAAUAAAACCAAUU